CUCCUCUUGUCCCCCCACAAUCAGGAGAUAAAGGGCAAGAAGAUCUCACAAGCUAUUUUCUUGAAGCACUUCUAAAAUACAUAGUCAUUCAGAGAGCAGCUGCUAGUUUAGUAUCCAGAGAAGAA
This 125-nucleotide small RNA is filed under the name Pan troglodytes (chimpanzee). RNAcentral describes it as "processed transcript". Lineage: Eukaryota; Metazoa; Chordata; Mammalia; Primates; Hominidae. The record is from RNAcentral.